AUUGCGCUAGGGAUGGCAGCGGCAUCCUUUUUUAUGCGGUAGCAAAAAAAGAUAUAGCGUACAGCCCGACCCUUG
RNAcentral lists this small RNA (75 nucleotides) under Mesonia phycicola. RNAcentral's name for it is "Mesonia sp. MDSW-25 Flavo-1 RNA". It matches the Rfam family "Flavo-1 RNA". The record is from Rfam by way of RNAcentral. Lineage: Bacteria; Pseudomonadati; Bacteroidota; Flavobacteriia; Flavobacteriales; Flavobacteriaceae.